This 492-nucleotide ribosomal RNA is filed under the name uncultured bacterium. RNAcentral's name for it is "partial 16S ribosomal RNA". It matches the Rfam family "Bacterial small subunit ribosomal RNA", at positions 29 to 507 of the family's 1533-position model. The record is from RNAcentral.
AGUGAACGCUGGCGGUAGGCCUAACACAUGCAAGUCGAACGGCAGCACAGUAAGAGCUUGCUCUUACGGGUGGCGAGUGGCGGACGGGUGAGGAAUACAUCGGAAUCUACUUUUUCGUGGGGGAUAACGUAGGGAAACUUACGCUAAUACCGCAUACGACCUACGGGUGAAAGCAGGGGAUCUUCGGACCUUGCGCGAUUGAAUGAGCCGAUGUCGGAUUAGCUAGUUGGCGGGGUAAAGGCCCACCAAGGCGACGAUCCGUAGCUGGUCUGAGAGGAUGAGCUGCGACACCGGAAUGGAGGAACGUGCCAGACCCCUGCGAGAGGCAGCAGUGGGGAAUAUUGGAGGAAGGGCGCAAGCGUGAACCAGGCAUACCGCGUGGGUGAAGAAGGCAUUCGGGUUGUGAAACCCUUUUGUUGUGAAAGAAGUGAAGCACGUUAAUACCCCGCUGUUCUGACGGUACCCAAAGAAUAAGCACCGGCUAACUUCGUG